AAGUCGUAACAAGGUAUCCGUAGGUGAACCUGCGGAUGGAUCAUUACCAAUUUUAUAUACUAGUGUGUAUGCCGCUGUCAAAGGUGGUACUACACUACUACUAUUAUGUAAACGUUGAACUAGAUCAAUUGGUGUGGAUUGCUUGGGAAUGGACGAAGCGACAAGCCUCUUCCGGACAGGCAAACCCCACACUGAUAACCCUUUUCAAUAUAAUUUACUAGUACAUACUACAAACAAACAAACAAAAGCUAUAAUAGGACUUAUAAACAGGCUGAGUGGGUAAAAUCCUCGGCUUAACCAAUAUAACUAUUACAACUUUCAGCAAUGGAUCUCUAGGCUCUC
RNAcentral lists this unclassified non-coding RNA (342 nucleotides) under Ramicandelaber taiwanensis. RNAcentral describes it as "partial internal transcribed spacer region". The stretch from base 1 to 46 matches the Rfam family "Eukaryotic small subunit ribosomal RNA", at positions 1786 to 1831 of the family's 1831-position model. Lineage: Eukaryota; Fungi; Kickxellomycota; Ramicandelaberales; Ramicandelaberaceae. The record is from RNAcentral.